Molecule: non-coding RNA, 569 nt
Filed under: Pongo abelii (Sumatran orangutan)
Lineage: Eukaryota; Metazoa; Chordata; Mammalia; Primates; Hominidae
Source: RNAcentral
CGGCUGGGCGCUCGAGACGGCGCCCCCAGAUCUCCCACCGGGCAGUGUCCCCAGCUGCAGCUGAGGAGAGAAGCGCCGGCGUGCGCGGUGCCACGUCGGAAUUGGCUCUGGGGACGCUGCAGCUGCCGAAGCGCAGCGCGCGGUCCCCACGCACGCCCUGCCCCCGGGCGGCCGGCGGGCUGGCCCGGCGAGGAGAAGAGGGAUGCGCGCCCUCCUCCCGUUCCCAUCUGCGGGUGCCACCGCCUGCGUCAGGGACCCCUGGCCCGAUCUUUCUGCCCCCGAUAACAGAAAAUCUCUUUUUCGUCUUAAAAAAAAAAAAAAAAAAAGCCUGUGGAAGACUCAGCAGAACCCAGGAAGCGCAGAAUCGGGAGAAAAGUCUUUGGCUGGGGCUGUUUCAAGUCUCUGGUUCAAUGGGCUGCUCGAAGCCAGGACUGGGAUCUUCUGAGGGGUGGACUUCUUUGGAACUUGACAGGACCUUGAAGACUGGGUUCUUAGUCCUUAUCACAUAUAUGGGCUAUAAUGAAUAAGUCUAAACAGAAAAGUCGAAUAAACUGAAAAUGAUGCUUUCA